Aedes albopictus (Asian tiger mosquito) is the source of this 305-nucleotide long non-coding RNA. RefSeq lists it as uncharacterized. Lineage: Eukaryota; Metazoa; Arthropoda; Insecta; Diptera; Culicidae. The record is from RefSeq and is a predicted model, not a curated record. The transcript has 2 exons.
GGACAGGCCCUUAUGCAAUUUCUCUAUUUAUGACUACUUACAAUGUAUCCCAAUAGCGGCUGGUUUUUUGGAGUUUUUUCCUUGUUUUAGGAUUCUCCCAGCACCGAUAUCUGAAGGCUGGAGGGAAAAGUCCAAGUAAGUAUUACAAAUUUACCACACUUUAACUACGUUCUUUUUCAUUGCAGGUUUUAACUUACGGGUUUCCUAAAUCAGAUCACACCGCACCACACUCCGAGCCUUCGGCUAAUUAGAAUUACAGACAAAUUAGAUUGCACUUAGUAAUAUAUGUAAUAUAUGCACAUCAA